GACGAACGCUUGCGGCGUGCCUAAGAAAUGCAAGUCGAGCGGGGUUGCUUCUCAUUGAGUUGAGAAGCAAGUUGAGAGUCUUUAGUUGAGAGUUGAGAGUAACGACCAGUCGGCCGAACUCUCAACUCUCAACCCUCAACUCUCAACUGAAUGAGGAGUAACCUAGCGGCGAACGGUCGCGUAACACGUAAGCAACCUGCCCGAA
Molecule: ribosomal RNA, 205 nt
Filed under: uncultured bacterium
Lineage: Bacteria
Description: partial 16S ribosomal RNA
Source: RNAcentral